AGCUUGCUUCUUUGCUGACGAGUGGCGGACGGGUGAGUAAUGCUUGGGAAUCUGGCUUAUGGAGGGGGAUAACUACUGGAAACGGUAGCUAAUACCGCGUAAUGUCUAAGGACUAAAGGGUGGGACCAUUUGGCCACCUGCCAUAAGAUGAGCCCAAGUGGGAUUAGGUAGUUGGUGAGGUAAAGGCUCACCAAGCCCGCGAUCUCUAGCUGGUCUGAGAGGAUAACCAGCCACACUGGAACUGAGACACGGUCCAGACUCCUACGGGAGGCAGCAGUGGGGAAUAUUGCACAAUGGGGGGAACCCUGAUGCAGCCAUGCCGCGUGAAUGAAGAAGGCCUUCGGGUUGUAAAGUUCUUUCGGUGACGAGGAAGGCGAUUGUUUUAAUAGAACAGUCGAUUGACGUUAAUCACAGAAGAAGCACCGGCUAACUCCGUGCCAGCAGCCGCGGUAAUACGGGGGGUGCGAGCGUUAAUCGGAAUAACUGGGCGUAAAGGGCACGCAGGCGGUUGUUUAAGUGAGGUGUGAAAGCCCCGGGCUUAACCUGGGAAUUGCAUUUCAGACUGGACAACUAGAGUACUUUAGGGAGGGGUAGAAUUCCACGUGUAGCGGUGAAAUGCGUAGAGAUGUGGAGGAAUACCGAAGGCGAAGGCAGCCCCUUGGGA
RNAcentral lists this ribosomal RNA (664 nucleotides) under Pasteurellaceae bacterium I48. Its description in RNAcentral is "bacterial SSU rRNA". It matches the Rfam family "Bacterial small subunit ribosomal RNA", at positions 73 to 734 of the family's 1533-position model. Lineage: Bacteria; Pseudomonadati; Pseudomonadota; Gammaproteobacteria; Pasteurellales; Pasteurellaceae. The record is from RNAcentral.